ACAUCAAAAUAAAUAAAUACUCGUAAAAUUCUCUCGUAUACUAUCCCCGUCCCCAAAUAUCCUAGGGUUUCAAAACUAUCGAUCAAAUAAAAUCUCUAUUAUAUAUACCCCUGUUCCCAUAUCAUAUCCUUCCGAUACCAAUCAUCAUGUAUAACGGAAUCGGGUUACAAACCGCCAGGGGAUCCGGAACAAACGGAUACAUCCAGAGCAACAAGUUCUUCGUGAAGCCACGCGCCACCAAAACCUCAACAAACAACAAUAACGGUACAGGAUUAGAAGGCGGCGUGGGUAGAAAACCUAAUAAAGAUAUAUUAGAACAUGAGCGAAAACGUGAGAUCCAAUUGAAGCUAACUGUGCUUGAAGAUAAGCUUAUUGAACAAGGAUAUACUGAUGAUGAGAUUGCUGAGAAGUUAGAUGACGUCAGGAAGACGUUGGAAGCCGCUAUGGCUUCCGAAGAUGCCGGUGGUGCUACUGCUGUUGUUUUCGAUCCUAAUCAAAAGUUUUCAGAUACGCAGACCCAUCAAGUUGCUGCACGCAAGCAGAAGCAAAUGGAGAACUUAAAAAAUGCUCUUGGGAUAGUCCACGAAGAUGAGGUUAAGAAGUAUGCACUUGUCUCUGAUGAUGAUAAAAUGGAUGAUGCUGAAAAAGCAGUAGAUAAUAAAAAAAUUGCUAGCGGGGCCGAUGGUAAAAAUGAAAAAGAUACCAAAGCUGGAAAAGAUGGUCUUGAUGAGCGUAAACAUUACAAGAAAAGGUCAAAGAAAAGAAGAGAAGUCUCUUCAGAUAGUGAGAGUAUCAGUGAUGACAGUUGUGAUUCAGAUAGUGACAGCAGUAGGGAACCUUUGAAAGAUACUAGGAAAAAGCAGCCGAAAAGUAGGGGAAGAAGUGACGAUGAGGAAGACUCUGAAUCCGACUCUGAUGAUAAUAUGAGAAAAAGUAGGCGGAAAUCAACAAAUAAGCUUAACAAAGGUAGAAGACAUGACAGUGAUGAUUCUGAUUAUGCUAAAAAGAAUGUCCGAAAUGCGAAGAGAUAUGACUCAGAUAGAAGCUCUAGUUCUGAUGAACGCCCAAACAUUAAAAGUGAAAAGGGGAAGCAGCUAUCAUCAAGGAGCAGACGACAUGAUUCAGAUGAUGAUUCUGAUGCUUUUGACGUAGAUAUACGUGGAAGAAGACAAGUUGAGGAGAAGAGGAAACCAAUUAGAACGGAUAGCAGAAUAGAAAAACAUAUUUCUACUCCCAAUGACUAUGGAAGAGGUAUAUACGAUAGGUGGGAUGGAGGUAGUAGGAAGCAUGAUGUGAGUCCUGUUAGAGGAAGAAGAAUUGAGAAAGAGAGACUUGAAAAGGCGGGAAGGAGACAUGAUAGUGAUGAUGAGGAAUCCAACGAAGACAUAAAUUACAAGAAUGAGGAAGUUGAGAGGGGCGGAAGGAGGCGACAUGGAAAUGAUGCUGUGGCUGACAAAAAUGAUACACAAAAUAGAGAAAGGGAUGGAAAAGGGCAUGAUGCAAGUCCAGUUAGAGGAAGAAGAAUUGAGAAAGAGAGACUUGAAAAAGUGGGAAGAGGGAGAAAUGACAGUGAUGAUGAGGAAUCUGACAAAGAUACACAUCGCAAGGAGGAAGUUGGGAGGGGUGGAAGGAGGCAACGUGGAAAUGACUCCGAGGCCCUUGACGAAAAUUAUAUGCGACUUAGAGAAAGGGAUGGAAAGGGGCAACAUGAUGUUAAGCGUGAGGAGUACUAUAAAAAGGAGAUCAGAACAGGUGAAAAAAGGCAGCGUGAUAUUGAAGAACCAAAAAGAGAGAGAGUUGAAAGAAGUAGGAGACAUGAUAGUGAUGAUGAGGACCCUGACAAAGACGUACAUCACAGGAAUGAAGAAGUUAAUAGAGAUGGAAAGAGGCGACGUGGAAAUGAUAUUGAGUCCUCUGACAAAAAGGAAACUAGACAAAGAGAUAGGGAAGCUGAACGAGGUGGAGGAAGGCAGCAUAAUGUUAACAGUGAAGAAAUAAAUAGAAAAGAAAUAAGAAUGGGUGAAAAAAGGCAGCGCGAUAUUGAAGAACUCAAGAAAGAGAGGGUCAAAGGUGGUAGGAGGCGGCAUGAUAGUGAUGAGGACGAUGAGGAUCCUGACAGAGACACAAAAGAGAAAGUUGAUAGGGGUGGAAGAAGGCAAGAUGAUGAUAAUGGUGACGGAAACACAAAGAUGUUAACUAGGGAUGAACGGAGUUACAAGAGAAAAGUUGCUGAUUAUGAAGAUGAUAAGUAUUUGGAAGGAAGAAAAGAAAUCAGAGAUCAAGAAGAUCGUGGGGUUAGAAAGCACAAAAGAGAUGAAGAAGAUGAGACAUACAAAAGGCUUGAAAAGGGUAGGGAGCAUCGUGAAUCAAAAGACACUAGAGAGCGGGAACAAGAGCAUGGAAGCAGAAGGGAUGAGAGAGAUAGAUAUGUUGACCAACCCAAGAGAUCCAGAUAUGAUACUGAGCGGAGGUAUGAUAGUGGCAAGCAUGACGGUGGACGUUCAAGGCACUAACCCUUCUAUAUAAUUGUAUUGGAUUAUUUAUAAGUACUUGAUUAUGUUAUCAAUCUGGUUGAAGCACAUGCUUGCCUUCACUUCAUUGUGAUUCCCUUCAACCCCCAACAAGGUGAUUCUGGAGAUUGAGUUGGCUGGUUGAAUUCAUACAAUAGUUGGUUAUAUAUAUAUAUAUACAUAUAUAUAAAUCAUAUAUAUGUGUAAGGAUUACAAAGCCUACUUAGAUUUGUUUGAUUCAGUUUUAUGUAAUAUCUUUGAGAGACUAGAUUUGUAGUUUGCAGUUGGAUGCUUGUAACACAUUUUGUACUCGUGUUUCCAGAGUAAUUUUAUUUGCACUUGCUUAAAAAGAAA
This is an RNA transcript of Erigeron canadensis, 2864 nucleotides long. It is a transcript of the gene named zinc finger CCCH domain-containing protein 13-like, with no coding region annotated. The transcript is spliced from 4 exons. Lineage: Eukaryota; Viridiplantae; Streptophyta; Magnoliopsida; Asterales; Asteraceae. The record is from RefSeq and is a predicted model, not a curated record.